CGCACAUGCCCUCCUUGGGCGUUUCCUCCCUAGACUUGAAGGCCGCCGAAAGGCGGCCUCCUUUUCUUCACCAG
This 74-nucleotide small RNA is filed under the name Roseiarcus fermentans. RNAcentral describes it as "Makes More Granules Regulator RNA (mmgR)". It matches the Rfam family "Makes More Granules Regulator RNA (mmgR)". Rfam says of the family: SuhB later renamed mmgR (makes more granules regulator) was a putative non-coding RNA found multiple times in the Agrobacterium tumefaciens genome and related alpha-proteobacteria. Other non-coding RNAs uncovered in the same analysis include: speF, ybhL, metA, and serC. Several studies inSinorhizobium meliloti showed that suhB element is indeed a non-coding RNA:firstly it was detected on Northern blot and called Sm8RNA, secondly in an RNAseq study referred to as SmelC689. Lineage: Bacteria; Pseudomonadati; Pseudomonadota; Alphaproteobacteria; Hyphomicrobiales; Roseiarcaceae. The record is from Rfam by way of RNAcentral.